CGCGUGGCGGCGUCGUAUCGCGCGCGAAGGCGCGAGACCACGUGACUAGCCGGUAGAUCGGCGAUUGGUCGGCGGUGCGACAUUUAAACCGACGAGCCGUUGCGUGUCUUCCGCGACAAGGUGAAAAACAGCAGUUCGAACAGAAGUUCGGCGAACGGACGAGUUCCACGGUAUUCCGAGUUGGCGGAGGCGCGCGUUCACACGACCGUUGGAUCUUCCUGCCGCUUCAUCCCGCUCGCGAGCGCGCGAUACAGGAGCUGCACGAUAAUUGCGAGAAUCAAGUCGACGUUGGCCCGUUAUUUAAACCGCCUCUUGUCUUGUCAUAUCUCUCGUGCGCCGCAAACAUACCGCCGGUCGCGCGAGUCAACGUGACGAACGUAGGGUGUAUUACGUAGUUCGAGGUCCCUUUGCCGGCGCGCGAUGUCCAAGGACGACGAGUGUACGAUACCGAAUGUGAUAUACGAUGCCAACACCGGCAACAGUUACAUGAAGGGCCGGUUUUUCGGCAAGGGUGGCUUUGCAAAAUGUUACGAGAUCACAGAGACAAAGUCGCAUCAAGUUUUUGCUGGAAAAAUUGUGCCAAAGUCAUUGAUGAUAAAGAGCAAUCAACGAGAGAAGAUGACGCAAGAAAUAGCAAUUCAUAAAACCUUGAACCAUAGACAUAUUGUUGGUUUUCAUGGUUUCUUUGACGAUUCUCAUAAUAUCUAUAUUAUCUUGGAACUCUGUCGCAAAAGAUCAAUGAUGGAGUUACACAAACGUAGGAAAGCACUGUCAGAAUGUGAAACCCGAUACUUUAUGAAGCAAAUCUUGGAUGGAGUUUUUUAUUUACAUCAGCAUAGAAUAAUUCACAGAGAUUUAAAAUUAGGGAAUUUAUUCUUGAAUGACGAAUUGCAAGUGAAGAUUGGUGAUUUUGGAUUAGCAACUAAAUUGGAACAUGAUGGUGAACGAAAAAAAACUGUUUGUGGCACUCCGAAUUAUAUAGCUCCAGAAGUGCUGACGAAAGUCGGACAUUCGUAUGAGGCCGACGUAUGGAGUAUCGGCUGCAUAAUGUAUACUCUACUCGUGGGCAAGCCACCCUUCGAAACAUCGAGUUUGAAAGAGACAUAUUCCAGGAUUAAGCAGGUGCAGUACAAAACACCGCAACACAUCAGCAAGCCUGCUAUGAACAUGGUAGCAAAUAUGUUACAACUGAAUCCGUCGAGACGCCCGUCUGUCGCCAAACUGAUGAAGGAUAUUUUCUUCACUUCUGGAUAUAUGCCGACAAGUUUGCCGCUUUCUUGCUUGACAAUGGCACCGCGUUUAGACAUGCUUGAGUCGCAUUGCAAUCGCAAACCACUUGGAGAGAUGAAUCUUAAUGGCUUCUCGGAGCAGGACAUCCUUGCCUCUCGAAUGCCAAAUAGUCCAUUGCGAAAAACCAAGCUUAGUACUGAGGUAAUAGAACCACAGAGAGUCAAUCACGAUAUCAAGAAGAUGCUUUAUACAUUGAAGGAACAGCUGGCUGCAGUGUUGAAAUAUAAGCCUUCUAAAGAUAUAACUUCUUCAGGAGAUGAAAUGACUGAUCCGGCGGCGCAACCUGUAAUUUGGAUUAGCAAAUGGGUGGAUUAUUCAGAUAAAUACGGUUUCGGAUAUCAAUUGUCUGAUGAUGGCGUUGGUGUAAUGUAUAAUGAUGGCACACGAUUGAUUAUGCUAGCGAAUGGCUUCAAUAUUCAUUAUAUUAAUCGUGAGGGCGACGAGUUGUACUACACGGUCAAAGAGUAUCCGACUAAUCUCGAAAAAAAGAUGAAAUUAAUGAAUUUCUUUUUGAAAUACAUGAAUGAGCAUUUGAUGAAAGCAGGCGGCUCUAUCGCGGUGAAGCAGAGUGAUUCUCUGUCUAGAAUACCUUACAUACAUCAAUGGUUUAGGACCCAAACGGCCGUCGUGAUGCAAUUGACUAAUGGCACAGUGCAAGUCAACUUUUUGGAUCAUGCAAAGAUCAUUAUGUGUCCUCUAAUGGCGGCAGUCACCUAUAUUGACCAUGAUAAGAAUUUCAGAACUUAUAGAUUCCAGACUAUUCAGGAGCAUGGUUGCUCUAAAGGAUUGGCAAAGAAUUUGAUGUAUGCAUAUGAGAAGAUUGGAUUGAUGCUGGCAAACUCUCAAAUCCGAUAAAAAUGGUCUAUUCUAAGAGAAAAUGAGAGAGAUAAAAAAAGAGGAAAAAAAUGCUGCGCCUCCUGUGAAAAAGAAAAAUUCUCCCUCUAUUUCUCACUCGAUUUUUGUACAGACUUAUAGAAUUUUGCUAGGCGAAUUUUUUUCCUUUAUUAUUUAGUACGAAAAGAGAGAUAGAGAAGAGGGAGAAGAGCCGAUCGUGUUCAACGAAGGCGAGAUACCUCGCGACAAGAUCUUCGGCUUAUUUCCAUUCUAUUUUUCAGUAUGCCGUUUCUCAUAAACAUUAAAAUAAAUUAAUUAAUUGUUAUCGAGCCUUCUGUUAUGUUUCCAAAUAUAAUAUGAAAUCGUAACUGCUAAUAUACAUUAAAGUUAACCUUAACAUUUAAAAUUCUAAAAAAAUCUUCACUCUUAUAUUCCUAUUUUGUAUUAUUCUCCUGUCUAAUUUCUUAUUUCCUCUAAAUUAUUAUUUCCUGUGCUAGUUGCUCAGAAUCCUGCGAGAUACUUCUUGUCUUCGUUGCUCCACAACAAUUGCCUAAAAGAUAUUCUGCUCUGACUUUGCAAGUGAAUCGUCUUCCAUCCAGAAAUCCUAUUAUGCCUAUUACAAAAAAAAGGAAAGUGAGGGUAAGGAUUAUCACGAUUCAAUGGAGUAGUGCAAUCUAAUGUCUGAUUUCAUUCUCGCAGUUGAGAUGAGAAACGAAAUUUCGCAGAAGCUAGGUUUCUGACUAAUGGUUCACUAGCUUAAAGUUUCUCAUUCAAAUUUGUUCAAAGCAAUGCGACUAAAUGUUAAUCUCUGAACUAUAAUUCUUAAACUCUGAUAACAAAAACUUAUUUGAGAAAGGACUUAUAUUGCAAAACUUUUUAUAAUGACUUAUAUGUUUAAGGUUUUAACGACAAAAAAAAAGUAAUAAC
Molecule: unclassified non-coding RNA, 3051 nt
Filed under: Camponotus floridanus (Florida carpenter ant)
Lineage: Eukaryota; Metazoa; Arthropoda; Insecta; Hymenoptera; Formicidae
Description: serine/threonine-protein kinase polo, transcript variant X3
Source: RNAcentral